GUGGUGUUUUUUUUGAUGAAAAAUUCUUUCCCUUACGAAGGUGCAAUCCAUUUGUGACUGGGUCAUAUCACAGGGGACGAGUUCCUGGGCAGAAUCAGGAUACUGGCGUGUCUCCAGGAUUCAUAGCACCUGAUGGCAUGGGCGGCAAUGGCCAAGAGCUGAUGAACAGAGAUGAACGCUAUAAAAAAGAGAAGCGUGUGCAUCCAAAGGGAAAGAAGAAAAAGGUUAAGAGAGGCGAGAACACAGCUUCACCAUUAAAGAGGAAAAUCAUCCAGUCAGCAUCUGACAGUAACGAAAUGUGAUUUGAUUAAUAAGAUAAAUAACACCUAUUUUCUUGUUUAAAGUGAUAGUUCACCCAAAAAUUCUUUCAUUAAUUACUCACCCUCAUGUUGUUUCAAACCCGUAAGACCUUUGUUCACCUUUGGGACACAAACUAAGUUAUUUUUGAUGAAAUGCGAGAGCUGUCUGACCCUGAAUAGACAGCAACGGAACUAUCACGUUCAAGCCCAGAAAGGUAGUAAGAACAAUCAUUAAAAUAGUCCAUGCGGCAUCAGUGAUGGACAGCGUUGCUGUCUAUGCAGGGUCAGAAAGCUCUCGGAUUUUAUCGAUAGCUUAGUUUGUGUUCUGAAGAUGAAUGAAGGUCUUACAGGUUUGGAACGACACAAGGGUAAUUAAUUACAGAAUUUUCAUUUUUGGGUGAACUGUCCCUUUAACGUAGCAUACACACUGCUUUUCUAUAAGCUUAAGCAGCACUUAAAAGCUUUAUAAACUUUGAAUCUAUAACUCUAACUUUCUGUACUCUUUAAAUAAAUUCUUUCAAAAGGA
Cyprinus carpio (common carp) is the source of this 825-nucleotide long non-coding RNA. RefSeq lists it as uncharacterized. The transcript has 3 exons. NCBI's taxonomy places the organism in Eukaryota, Metazoa, Chordata, Actinopteri, Cypriniformes, Cyprinidae. The record is from RefSeq and is a predicted model, not a curated record.